This 463-nucleotide ribosomal RNA is filed under the name Streptococcus gordonii. Its description in RNAcentral is "bacterial SSU rRNA". It matches the Rfam family "Bacterial small subunit ribosomal RNA", at positions 28 to 467 of the family's 1533-position model. Lineage: Bacteria; Bacillati; Bacillota; Bacilli; Lactobacillales; Streptococcaceae. The record is from RNAcentral.
GACGAACGCUGGCGGCGUGCCUAAUACAUGCAAGUAGAACGCACAGUUUAUACCGUAGCUUGCUACACCAUAGACUGUGAGUUGCGAACGGGUGAGUAACGCGUAGGUAACCUGCCUGGUAGCGGGGGAUAACUAUUGGAAACGAUAGCUAAUACCGCAUAAUAUUAAUUAUUGCAUGAUAAUUAAUUGAAAGGUGCAAUUGCACCACUACCAGAUGGACCUGCGUUGUAUUAGCUAGUAGGUGAGGUAACGGCUCACCUAGGCGACGAUACAUAGCCGACCUGAGAGGGUGAUCGGCCACACUGGGACUGAGACACGGCCCAGACUCCUACGGGAGGCAGCAGUAGGGAAUCUUCGGCAAUGGACGAAAGUCUGACCGAGCAACGCCGCGUGAGUGAAGAAGGUUUUCGGAUCGUAAAGCUCUGUUGUAAGAGAAGAACGGGUGUGAGAGUGGAAAGUUCAC